UCCCGGUGCUGAAAUCGGUGAUCGAGAAAGCGGAGGGCAGCCCGCACCGGAGCGAGGUGGAGGGCUGGCUGCAGAGGCUGAAAGACGCUUACGACGGCGCGGAGGACGCGCUGGACCGCCUCAACUACGACCGCCUCAGACGCAAGGCUAAGGCAGCCGCAAGGAGCAGCAGUGGUAAGAGGCCAAGUAAUAAUCCGGUAGGUUCUUCUUCCUUUUUUCGCAUACCAAAACGUGUGAAAUGGGUGAUAAAAGGCGGCCGGGACAUGCUGUCGCCUCGAAAGAUCAAGCUGAAGGUAAGGCUGAAGAAGCUGAAAAAGAUCGCCGGCGAAGCCAAGGAACUCAGCACUUUGUUAGGUGCCCAGCCUGAGACAGCAGACAGCAGGCAGACCAUCUCAGUGCCUCCGCAGAGAGUGUUCGGCCGCGACGAAGAUCGUGAUGAAAUCAUCCGUCGUUUGAAGAUAGAACCUCCUGCAGCAGGCGUACCUAUACCUAUAAUUGCCAUCGUCGGUCGCCCGGGGGUCGGGAAGACUACUCUUGCACAGUACGUUUGUCAGCAGUUGAGGACCGAAUUAGGUGACAGACAACAUUUUGAUCUCAUCAUGUGGGUCCACACAUCCUGCAACUUCAACGCAGCCGGAAUUAUGAAAGACAUCAUACAACAAGCUUCUAUCGCAAGUGAGCCUCAAGAUCCCGUUGCUCCCGAUGAUCAAGCCGUAACGAUACUUACCCAUCUUUCUAACCUCGACACUAUGGUCGUGGGCAACCUUGACACACCUGAAGCGCUACGACUGAAAAUGAACAAAAAGCUGAACGCGAAGAAGUUCCUGCUCGUGAUAGAUGAUGUUUGGUGCGACGGAGAAGACCGCAAGAAGAAUUGGGAUGCGCUAUUCAGAUGUUUAAGCAAAUGUUGUUGUUUGCCAGGGAGCAAGAUUUUAGUUACGUCUCAAACGGACGAUGCGCCAAGAAAGAUUGCUGCUGCUAAUGCUGCUACUAUGGAACACAUUUUGCAUUUGAAAGAUUUAGCAGAGAAUGACUUUGCGGAUCUUUUCAAUGAAUACGCAUUGCCUAGCGGGGAAUUCGAUUCUCACUUAAGAGAAGAUUUAAAAAAGAAAUGCAAGACAAUCGCUGCGAAGUUGAACAAGGACCCUACAGCGGCCAAGAUGGUUGGCGAGACAAUCGCUACGAAGCUGGCCGAUCUCCUUCGUUCGCAAGGUAAUUUGCAUGCAUAUUUGGAAACGAUCGCAGACAAGGACUGGUCCGGCGACAAAACCAAAGCGCUGAUGUGGAGUUUUCGGCAUUUGCCGGCACAUCUUCAGCGUUGCUUCUCGUACUGUCGCCUGUAUCCUAGAGGCUACAAGUUCAAAGCUUUAGAACUGGUUCAGCUCUGGAUGGCGCAAGGUUUUAUCAAGCCGGAUGAUCCGAAUGAGAGGGUGGAGGAUGCAGGCGACGGUUACCUGAAUGAUUUGGUGUCCAGAUUCUACAUUCAGUGUCAUAACAGAUUCCGCCGCUCCUCUGGGACAGGAAAGCCUGUCUGCUACUACACGUUGCAUGAAUUGCUGUAUGAUCUAGCAGAAAAGGUUACUCGCAGUGAUUGUGUUAGAAUAGAAGGUAAUCGUCAGAGCGAGAUCCCGUCGACUAUUCGCCAUCUGUGCAUACCGGCUGACAAACUGAAUGAGAAGAAGGAGGAAAUUUGCAAACUGAAGAAACUUCGCACCCUAAUCGUCAUGGAAGGAGAAAGUGUCGUCUCAGACGAAAAUGUUGCGACCACCGACACCUUCAAGAGCUUAAAAAAGUUGCGCGUGCUGCAGGUUUCGGGGUUAAAUCUAGAAAAACUGACGAGAAAGUUUAUAAGCGAAAUGAAGCACCUUCGCAUCCUGCGAGUUUCAGGUACUGGCGAGUCCGUGUUGCUGGUGGCGGUGUCCACUCUGUAUCAGCUACAGGUGUUGAAAGUAGAAAACGCUCGCCCGCGUGCUGCACACCUUACCGACUUGGUCGGCUUGCGGUAUCUACAGCCUUCUGGCAUAGCCGAGAUCGGCAAUUUAACUUCCUUGCAAGGCCUAGAGAAUUUUCAGGUGAGAAAGGAAAAAGGAUAUGAGCUGGAGCAGCUAAAGAACUUGAACGAACUUCGAGGACGCCUGUGCAUUGAUAAUCUUGAGAAUGUUGAGAGCAAGGAGAGCGCCAUUGCUGCCAAUUUGAAAGAAAAGAAGCAUCUUGAUUCGCUCCAGCUGGUAUGGCGCGACGGCGAGGACAAUGCAAAUUCUAAUUUGGAUGCUGAAAUUCUUGAGGGUCUCCAAUUGCCUCCCAAUCUUACCAGCCUUUAUCUAGACGGGUAUCGAGGACCGUCGUGGCCCGAAAAUCAAACAUCCAACAUUCAAGAACUUGCGCUGAGGAGGUGUGGAAUGCUUGAAGAGCUCCCACCUAUGGACCAGCUUUACCCUUAUUGCAGAUCACUCGAGCUUCAGCAUAUUACUAGACUUAAAGCAGUACACACCCUUCCUCCGAGGCUUCGAAACAUCGCAAUAUUUCGCGCACCAUUUCUCACCUUCGUAACAAAUGAAGACCUGCAGUUGAGCCAAGAUGACAAGAGAUCCAUAAGAGAGGUCAUGAGGAACAGGACGCAGGAAUGGUUCCGACACCAAUAUAAAGAAGACUUAGCCCACAACGAAAGAGAAAUGAGGGAUUUCAUAGCCGCGAUGAAUGGCCGAGAGCAUAACAAAAGUGUGCCUGCCGCCGAUGCGGAUAUUGCCGCUGUCUGGGGGAGAUGGUUGGCGACGCAUGAGCGAAAAACGGAAUUAAUUUACAACAGACAAAAUGAGGCCAAAUUGCUUUUGCCCUCUACCAUUACUAGGCUCCGGCUCGAGGGAUGCAACAUUACCGACCACGCAUUGUCGGUAUGCCUACAAAACCUCCCCUCCCUUAUGCAGCUGUUGUUAGCAGAUCUCAAAAUGAUAACCCGUCUACCGUCUGCGGACGUCCUUGCCAACUUAAAAUUGCUCCAAACUUUACGUCUGAGCGACUGCUGGGCUCUCACUUCGCUGGAUGGUAUAAGAUCCCUCCGCCGUCUCGGAAAUCUCCUUCUAAUCGGAUGCCCCUGCUUGGACACUGAAACUGCUGUGCUGCCGUCCUCGUCGCGGUCUAUUCUUUUUGAGUCUUGUGCAGAUGUAGAUGUAAUCCUAGCCUAUGCAAAUUUGCAACAUCUAUCUCGUCUUACGAUUACUCGAUGUCGUACGCGAACGGCAUCGUUACAGUUCUGCAACCUCCGAUCUCUCCACUCCUUGAGUAUCCGGGAUUGUUCUGGCGUCUCAUUCUCGGUGGAUUUGCAGGAACUGCACUCUCUAGAAUAUCUCAUUCUGCAGAACUGCUCAAAUCUGCGGGAAGUGGUGAAUUUGCCCAGGUCACUCAAAAGGUUAGGAAUACGCGGAUGUCCGAUUUUAGAGGAAUCCAUAGAAAUUGACCCCCUUUCGGGCAGGCGUAUGCUCAACGGCAUCCCUGUAGAAGACAGCUUCGAACAUGCUCUGUAAUGUGGAAAAAAGGUACGUAUCGCCUUCCCAUUCUUACAAUUGGCAAACUUUGAAUUCCUGAUCGUCUUAUUCUUUUUUCCUCAUUAAAAGUGCAUAAGUUAAUCAGUCUCUUGAUGAAUCAGCGAAGAUCUUGAAGUACUUCAAACUUUUCUACACCUUGCCUAUGUGUUUUGAGAUUAGAAUUAAAAACGAUGUAACUGACCUAGUUUUAGAUUGAAAUACUUUAUAAUCACUCAUCUAUGUAUCUAUUGAAGAUAAUAAUAUUAUUUAUCCCUGCAGUAUGUGGAUGCAUUCACUUCUGUACUCAUCAUGCACUUCUAUGUGAAUUACUCUUUCAAAUUUUUUUCUUUCAUGCAUCAAAUGUAGAAUCAUUAUUAAAGUGCUUGAGUAUAAUUUGGUUCUAGGAUUGGGGUUUAUCUUAUCGGUAUUAUGAUACAAUCCUACAGUCCUAUUCUCUAAUCAUUGUCCUUUUCGAAUCUUAAUUGCUAAAUCAACAUGAUUCAGAUGUAUUACUUCCCUUACUUUUAAUUCCUGCAGAUUCAAAAGUGUGGUAAAAAAGUAUUUUAUAUCAGUUUUUUUGCUGUAAUUUUCUAUAAAUCCCAUAAUUUAAAGGAUAAGAUUCAUGAUCUUGCAAUUCAAAUUGCAUCCUUCUAAUCUAUUUGAACGUUAUGUAUCACUUUAUUUUCAUUGUGCUUAUUUUUUAGUGUUCUCAUUCUGUAUUGGUUUCGCAAUCUUUUUGCAGGCAUCUGAUGGGCAAUUAGCUUCUGAAGAUGGGGGAAAAAGAAUAAAGGUUUAUUAAUGGGUAUGUAUAUUGUUAUUGUGUGGGUUAUUAAUUGUUGUCAAAGAGUUGGUUUGACCAUCCAAAAAAAAAAAAAAAGGAGCCAAAAAAAAAGAAAAAAAAAAAGGCUUAUUAAUGUGUAUGUAAUCUAUAUUGCUAUUUGUGUGGAUUGUUAAUUGAUGUUGUAUAAGAAUUGGUUCGUCCAUCACAAAAAAGAAGCCAAAAACAAGCAAAAAAAAAAAAAAAAAAAAAAAAAAAAAAAAAAAAAAAAAAAAAAAAAAAAAAAAAAAAAAAAAAAAAAAAAAAAAAAAAAAAAAAAAAAAAAAAAAAAAAAAAAAAAAAAAAAAAAAAAAAAAAAAAAAAAAAAAAAAAAAAAAAAAAAAAAAAAAAAAAAAAAAAAAAAAAAAAAAAAAAAAAAAAAAAAAAAAAAAAAAAAAAAAAAAAAAAAAAAAAAAAAAAAAAAAAAAAAAAAAAAAAAAAAAAAAAAAAAAAAAAAAAAAAAAAAAAAAAAAAAAAAAAAAAAAAAAAAAAAAAAAAAAAAAAAAAAAAAAAAAAAAAAAAAAAAAAAAAAAAAAAAAAAAAAAAAAAAAAAAAAAAAAAAAAAAAAAAAAAAAGCCAAAAAAAAGAAAAAAAGCAAAAAAAAAAGAGUGUGCAUGGUUUGCAUUGUGGUCAUAAAAUGUAUUAUAUUUCACUUUUUUUUUGUUUAAAAUGUAUUAUGUUUUGUACAGCGCAGAAGACUCUGUAGACCUAGAAUUAUUAACAUAUUAGUAUGCGAGUGUUUUAAUUUUGUUGUCGAAGACAUUUUUUUUUGAGAGAUAGGUAGCAUGCUACUCGCUUCUUUUAUUCUAUCGAGAAAUAAAGUUAGCUGGAAAUAUGAAUCAACUAGAAUUCGAACUUGGAACCUCGGAUACCAACCAUGAAACCUUUUGCUACUUGCUCUAGGGACGGUAGGUGUUGUCGAAGACUUGGUUCGGUUAAUUUUGUGCAUGGUGUGCAUUGUGGUCUUAAAAUAUAAUAUGUUUUCAUACUUUUCUCUCUUAACGUAUUAUGUUUAGUACGGUGUAAACUAAAGACCCUGUAAACCUGAAAUUUUACACUAAAGACCCUGUAAACCUGAAAUUUAUGUUGUGUUUGUAUGUAAAUUUGAGUAUUUUAAUUUUGAUGUUGUAACCAACCGUUCCUAGAGUAAGUGGCAAAGGCUUGGUGGUUGGUAUCCAAGACCCAAGUUUGAAUCCUAGUUGAUUUAUAUUUGCAGCUAAGUUUAUUUCUAAAAAAAAUAAACGAAGCGGGUAGCGUGCUACCUAUCUCUCAAAAAAAAAAAAUUAAAAAAAAAAAUUUGUGGUCAAAGGUGGAGGAACGGGCUAGCUGAAUUGGCAGCUUGCUGGUGGACUAUCUGGAAGGCUAGGAAUAACCUAAUCUUCCGUGACACUCAGCUAGACCCUCUUGUAGCAGUGCGAAGGCUCAGGCAGCUCAUUGAUUCUUGGAGAGACCUGCUGUAAUUUUUUUUUUUUUUUUUUUUUUUGGCUUUUUUCUUAUGACGUGUUUUUUUCUUUUUUCCUUGAGGCCCUGGUUGCCUCACCCCUGUAGCCUAAUUCAUAUUUUUAAUGAAUGAAGCGGGUAACGUGCUACCUAUUCUCUCAAAAAAAAAAAAAAAAAAUUUGUUGUUGUAGUACCUCUUGUGCUUUUGGUUACACUUUACGGUGUGAACAUGAUCAGAUUAAACGGGCCUCAUAUGUUGCCGAUGAAUGAUACAUUCCUCAUAAUUUACGAACAGAAAUUAAGUUAUAAUCAGGGUAACUCAGCACACGAAGAUUAUACGAGACUUGUGUCAAACUAAAGCAGUUUGAGCCCAAGAUAUUACCCACACGCAUGGGGUUAUAAUCAUUCACGGGGUACAUUAAUUCAUCCAUGUGGAUUCUGUUUAAGACAGAUCUGAUAUUAGACACAAAUUAGAAAGCUAUAUAUAUAUAACAUAUAUAUACAUAAUAAAAGAAGUUUAUCCAACUAUUAACUUGAACUUAAUUUUUGGUUGGAUUUGAUCCCAUUAACCAAACACAUUUUGGGUCACUAACAAUAUUUAGUAGAAGCCUUAACCCAGCAGGUUUCAGAACAAAGUUCUGAGAGAGUUGCUAUCUAGAGAAGGUAGUAUUUACUGUCAAUGUUCACUGACUCAAGUCAAUAAGAAAGUAUAGAUUAGUAUUGAUAUUAUUUGUCGGACUUGUGCCAAUACAUUUUAUCUUAAUUAUAAGAAAAGGUUAUAUGUACAUAUAGAGAGAGAUAAGGGCCAGGGCCUAAUUGUGUCAAUUAUUAUAUAUUAUAUUAUUAUCAGGGUAAAUAGCAUGUUUGGUUCUCAAACUAUGAGUCGAGUGACGUUUUGGUCAUCAUACUCUAAUUUAUGAGUAAUGCUUCUAUACUUUUUUUUUUUUGUUACCGUUCAUUCACGCGUAUUUAACGGCUCAGAUUUAGUUUUUUUAAAAUUAUGACCUGCAAUAGUAAGUCACUUUGGGAGAGGUACCGGUUACCAGGUACCUCAAAAAAGGAUAUUUUUGUCUUUUAAUAUAUGGACAAUUUAGUCAUUUUAUAUCUACUAUAUUUUCAAAAUUUUUAUUUUUUCUUUGUUUCCUUUUUCUCUCUCUAUCUUUCUUUUUCACAAUUUGACAUUUCAUAUAAGGAAAAUUUCAAAUGAUUUGACAAUAUGAUCAUUGAAUUUAAACUUUAAAUAGUAAUAUGAAAUUCCUCUAAUUUAAAUUUUACUUUUAAAUUUUAAAUUUAAUAUUAUAUUCAAAUUUAUAUUUUAAAAAUUUAAGUUUUAUAUAAAUACUUUGAAAUAUGGUAAACAGAAAUAAUUGUUUGAAUUCUAUUCUUCUGGUUUAGGUUUGGUUUUGGGUUUCGGAAAAUUGGUCAGUUUUGAAUUUAGAUAUGGAUUUUUGAAAUUGGUCGAGUUUGGAAAUAAGUUUUGUCAUUGUUAGUUAAAUUCGAAUUCAAAUGCCUAACUAUUUUUUUUCUCACCAAUAAUUCUAAUCUUUUUAAUUUAUAUGUUUAAAAUUAUAUUUAAAAUAUUUAUUAGCUCUAACAGUUAAAUUAUCAUUCUGUUUAAAAUAUUUAUUAUCUUUACCAGUUCCAAUUGUUCUUAUGUAUUCGUUUCUAGGUCAGAUUUUUGAUAGAUAGGUCAAGUCUGAUCAGUAAUAUCAAUCGUUCAUCUAGUUUUUUAAUACAUGUGGAAUUUAAUUUAAUAGUAAUAUGAAAUUCCUCUAAGAAAGUCUAGUUGUUAGAAAUCUUACUCUCUAAGUUUUUUAUGCAAAUCUUUUAAACGUGGUGCGAAUAACACGAUUUAAAUUUGUGAAUUUAGUUUUACAUAGUAAUAUAAAUUCGUCUUAUAUUAAAUUUCACUUUUAAAUUUUAAGUAUUCAUUUUUUAAAUUUAAAUUCAUCGAUUUAGAAAUAAAAACUAUUUCUAAAAUUGUCUAUAAAUUUAAAUUAUGAAUAAUCUUGAGAAAACUAAAACAGUUUAAAGUAAGGAUUCCUAAAUUAAUGGCCUAAUAAUUGAUUAAUUAUUGGUUAAUCAAUAAUUUCCUAAUUAGUGUCUUAUUAAUGCAUAAUUUAGGACACUCAUUAAAGUUUCUUUAAAUUUGUAUGUAUUUAAUUACCAGAACUAACCUUGAAUAAAUAAUUUUGUUUAAACCUGCUAAGUUUAGUAAAGCUUACUUAUUUUCUUAUUAAUCAAUGGUGAGAUUUUUUAUUUUUUUUAAAAAAAGUACCGAAUCAUAUUCUCAUAAUUUAUUUAAUUUCUUAUUCAAACUUUUAGAAUUAGUUACAAUGAUCCUUCUGUUAGCUUGUCCAGUACACCUUGUACUCAAAAGCAAUCUUCUUUAUGUAUAACCUUAAUUGGUUGACUAAUAAGAUUGCGUAUUUAAUAUAAAGAAAUAUAGCAGUUAUUUACGACUAAUGAUGCCACAAUAAUUACGACUUAAUAUUACUUUUACAAUCAAAAAAAAAAAAAAAAAAAAUACAAUAUGAACAGGUUCGAGACGAAGGUCACAUGCCUCAUAUUUUGAAGGACCGGCAAUGCAGCUAUAUAUAUUUAAUAGUAUCAUUUAUUAUUUUACAGAAUGUUGAGUAAUUAUCAACAAUGCCAUGGACAAGUUGCAUGAGUAGUUCUAAACAAUGGCAAGUUGCCUCUUCUUGUCAUGCAUAAUAGAUUCAGUCCUUCGUCAUCCAGCGGUCCCAGACCGUGGUCACGUCAUCCCCACUAUCCCCCAGCCGGUCGAUCUCCAAGCUCAUCACCAUUAGAAAUCUUGAGAAAAUGGUCAACCGUCUCCUCGUGAGUGAACAAAUUGUUAUUCAUGAAAUUGUUCCAGGGUAGUUGGCGCAACAUGUUGUGGCGCGGCCUUAAUUCCACCACACUUGUUUGGUGCCGUUAAUUCUCAGCCGGCAGCUACCUAGCUAGCUGUCUGUUCUGAGCUUGCUGGCACGAGAAUGGCGGGAGUAGAAGCGAUCGGAUUAGCGGCGCUGGGAUGGGUGGCGUCUCCCCUCGUGGCGAAGCUGCUCGCCGAAGGCUUCGCCAGCUUAGGCAUCAACGCGGAGAAGAAGCUGCAGAAGCUGAGGGCCACCGUCCUCCCGGUGCUGAAAUCGGUGAUCGAGAAAGCGGAAGGCAGCCCGCACCGGAGCGAGGUGGAGGGCUGGCUGCAGAGGCUGAAAGACGCUUACGACGGCGCGGAGGACUCGCUGGACCUCCUCAACUACAACCGCCUCAGACGCAAGGCGGCGGCGGCAGCAAGCAGUGCUAAGAGGCCAACUAAUCCGGUACGUUCUUCUUCCUUUUUUCACAUACCAAAACCUGUGAAAUGGGUGAUAAAAGGCGGCCGGGACAUGCUGUCGCCUCAAAAGAUCAAGCUGAAGCGAAGGCUGAACAAGCUUGAAAAGAUCGCCGGCGAAGCCGAGAAACUCCGCACCUUGUUAGGCGCCCAGCCCGACCAGACGGCGGCGGCAGCGCCUGACAGCAAGCAGACCAUCUCGCUGCCUCCGCCGAAAGUGUUUGGCCGUGACGAGGAUCGUGACGAAAUCAUUCGGCGUUUGAAGAUAGAACCUGCAGCAGGCGUACCAAUAAUUGCCAUAGUCGGUCGCCCGGGGGUCGGGAAGACUACUCUCGCACAGUACGUUUGCGAGCAGCUGGGGAGCGAGUUAGGUGACAGACAACAUUUUCAUCCCAUCAUGUGGGUCCACGCAUCUUGCAACUUCAACGCAUCCGAAAUUAUGAAAGACAUCAUACAACAAGCUGCUAUCGCAAGCGAGCCUCAAGAAGAUCUUGGUAACCCUGAUGAUAUCGCCGCAACGUUCCAUACCCAUCUUUCUAACCUCGACACGAUGGUCGUGGGCAACCUCAACACGCCUGAAGCACUACAGCUGAAAAUGAACAAAAAGCUGAACGCGAAGAAGUUCCUGCUCGUGAUAGAUGAUGUUUGGUGCGACGGAGAAGACCAUGAAAAUAAUUGGGAUAUGCUAUUCAGAUGUUUAAGCAAAUGUUGUUGUUUGCCGGGGAGCAAGAUUUUAGUUACGUCUCAAACGGACGAUGCGCCGAGAAAGAUUGUUGCUGCUAAUGGUGCUGCUGUUGUAGAAUACAUUUGUCAUUUGGAAGAUUUAGCAGAGAAUGACUUUGCCGAUCUUUUCAUUCAAUACGCAUUGCCUAGCGGGGAAUUCGAUUCUCACUUAAGAGAAGAUUUAAAAGAGAAAUGCAAGACAAUCACUGCGAAGUUGAACAAGGACCCUACGGCGGCCAAAAUGGUUGGCAAGACGAUCGCUACGAAGCUGGCCGUUCUCCUUCGUUCGCAAGGUAAUUUGCAUGCAUAUUUGGAAACGAUCGCAGACAAGGACUGGUCCGGCGACAAAACCAAAGCGCUGAUGUGGAGUUUUCGGCAUUUGCCGGCACAUCUUCAGCGUUGCUUCUCGUACUGUCGCCUGUAUCCUAGAGGCUACAAGUUCAAAGCUUUAGAACUGGUUCAGCUCUGGAUGGCGCAGGGUUUUAUCAAGCCGGAUGAUCCGAAUGAGAGGGUGGAGGACGCAGGUGACGGUUACCUGAAUGAUUUGGUGUCCAGAUUCUACAUUCAGCGUCAUAACAGAUUCCGCCGCUCCUCUGGGACAGGUAAGCUUGUCUGCUACUACACGUUGCAUGAAUUGCUGUAUGAUCUAGCAGAAAAGGUUACUCGCAGUGAUUGUGUUAGAAUAGAAGGUAAUCGUCGGAGCCAGAUCCCAUCGACUAUUCGCCAUCUGUGCAUACCGGCUGACAAACUGAAUGAGGAGGAGGAGGAAAUUUGCAAACUGAAGAAACUUCGCACCCUAAUCGUCACGAAAGGAGAAAACGUCGUCUCAGACAAAAAUGUUGCGACCGGCAUCUUCAAGAGCUUAAAAAAGUUGCGCGUGCUGCUGGUUUCGGGAUUAAAUUUAGAAAAUUUGACAAAGUUUAUAAGUGAAAUGAAGCACCUUCGCAUCCUGCAAGUUUCAGGUGCUGGCGAGUUCGUGUUGCUGGAGUCGGUGUCCACUCUGUAUCAGCUACAUGUGUUGGAAGUAGAAAACGUUAGCUCGCUUCCUGCACGCCUUAAUGACUUGGUCGGCUUGCGGUAUCUACGGCCUUCUGGCAUAGCCGAGAUAGGCAAGUUAACUUCCUUGCAAGGCCUAGAGAAUUUUCAGGUGAGAAAUGAAAAAGGAUAUGAGCUGGAGCAACUAAAGAACUUGAACGAACUUCGAGGACGCCUGCGCAUUGAUAAUCUUGAGAAUGUUGAGAGCAAGGAGAGCGCCAUUGCCGCCGAUUUGAAAGAAAAGAAGCAUCUUGAUUCGCUCCAAUUGGUAUGGCACGACGGUGAGGACAAUGUAAAUUCUACUUUGGAUGCUGAAAUUCUUGAGAGUCUCCAAUUGCCUCCCAAUCUUACCAGCCUUCAUCUAGAUGGGUAUCGAGGACCGUCGUGGCCCGAAAAUCAAACAUCCAACAUUCAAGAACUUGCGCUGAGGAGGUGUGGAAUGCUUGAAGAGCUCCCACCUAUGGACCAGCUUUACCCUUAUUGCAGAUCACUCGAGCUUUGGCAUAUUACUAGACUUGAAGCAUUACACACCCUUCCUCCGAGACUUCAAGAAUUCACAAUAUUUCGCGCGCCAUUUCUCACCUUCGUAACAAAUGAAGACCUGCAGUUGAGCCAAGAUGACAAGAGAUGCAUAAGAGAGGUCAUGAGGAACAGGACGCAGGAAUGGUUCCAACACCAACGUAAAGAAGACUUAGUCCACAACGAAAGAGAAAUGAGGAAUUUCAUAGCCGGGAUGAAUGGCCGAGAGCAUAGCAACAUUGUGCCUGCCGCCGAUGCGGAUAUUGCUGCUGUGUGGGAGAGAUGGUUGGAGACGCAUGAGCAAAAAACAGAAUUAAUUUACAGCAGACAAAAUGAGGCCAAAUUGCUUUUGCCCUCUACCAUUACUAGGCUCCGGCUCCAGGGAUGCAACAUUACCAACCACGCAUUGUCGGUAUGCCUACAACAAAACCUCCCCUCCCUUACGCGGCUGUUGUUAGUAGAUCUCAAAAUGAUAACCCGUCUACCGUCUGCGGACGUCCUUGCCAACUUAAAAUCACUCCAAACUUUAGCUCUGAGCAACUGCUGGGCUCUCACUUCGCUGGGUGGUAUAAGAUCCCUCCGCCGUCUCGGAAAUCUCCUUCUAAACGGAUGCCCCUGCUUGGACAUUGAAAAUGCUGUGCUGCCAUCCUCGUUGCAGUAUAUCCAUUUUGAGUAUUGUGCAGAUGUAGAUGCAAUCCUAGCCAAUGCGAAUUUGCCACGUCUAUCUCGUCUUACGAUUACUCGAUGUCGUACACGAGCGGCAUCGUUACAGUUUCGCAACCUCCGAUCUCUCCACUCCUUGAGUAUCCUGGAUUGUUCUGGCGUCUCAUUCUCGGUGGAUUUGCAGGAACUGCACUCUCUAGAAUAUCUCAUUCUGCAGAACUGCUCAAAUCUGCAGGCAGUGGUGAAUUUGCCCAGGUCACUCAAAAGUUUAGGAAUACGCGGAUGUCCGAUUUUAGAGGCGCAAUCCAUAAACAUCGACCCCCGUUCGCGCAUCCGUAUGCUUGGCGGCAUCCCUGUAGAAGACAACUUCGAAACAUGCUCUGUAAUGUAGAAAAAGAGGUACGUAUCGCCUUCCUGUUCUUACAAAUCGGCAAACUUUGAAUUCCUGAUCUUUCUGUUCUUUUCUUUCUCCUCAGUAGUGCAGAAGUUAAUCACAGUCUCUUGAUGAAUCUGCAAAAAUCUUGAAGCACUUCAAACUCUUCUACACCUUGCAUGUGUGUUUUGAGAUUAGAAUUAAGAUGAUGAACUGACCGAGUUUUAGAUUGAUAUGCUUUAUAAUCACUCGUCUAUCUACCGACUAGUAUGUGGAUGCAUUCGCUUCCGUACUCAUCAUGCACUUCUAUGUAAGUUGCUCUUUCAAGUUUUCUUCUUUCAGGCCAUCAAAUAUAGAAUCUGUAUUAAAGUGCUAGCAUAUAAUUUGGUUCUAGGAUUGGGGUUUAUAUUGAAGGUGUUAUUGUUAAAUAUAAAAAUAUUUAAACACCAUUCUCUGAUAGCUUUAGCUUUUAGAGUACAACUGUUAUUUUACAUGGUAUCAGAGCAGGAGGUUCUGAGUUCGAGUUACGUCAGGCUCUUAGCAUAUUAAUUUCUUCCCAUUUAAUUUAAGCUCACGUCAUGGACCGACUAAAAAGUCUCGAGCCCAGACGUGAGGGGGAGUGUUAAAUAUAAAAAUAUUUAAACACCGUUCUCUGAUAGCUUAACCUUUUAGAGUACAACGGUUAUUUCACAGUUAUGAUACAUUAAUCCUACAGUCGUAUUCUCUAAUCGCUGUCCUUCUCAAAUCUUAAUGCUAAAUCAACAUGGUUCAGAUGCAUUCAAAAGUGUGGUCAAAAAGUAUUUUAUAUCAGUUUUCUUACAGUAAUUUUCUAUGAAUUCCAAAAUUCAAAUGACAAGAUUCAUGCAUGAUCUUGCAAUUCAAAUUGUAUCAUUCUAAUGUAUUUGAACGUUAUGUAUCACUUUAUUUCUCAUUGUGCUCACUUUUUAGUGUUCUAAUUUUAUGUCUGCUUCACCAUCUUUCUGCAGGUAAUUGAUGAUGGGCUUUUUUUAGCUUCUGAAGAUUGGGGGAAAAAAAAAAUUUAUUAAUGGGUAUGUAUGUUGCUAUUGUGUGGAUUGUUAAUUGUUGUCAAAGAGUUGGUUUGGCCAUCCAAAAGAAAAAAAGAAAAAAAAAUAAGCAAAAAAAAAAAAACAAAAUGAAAACAUUAAAAAAAAAAUUGUUAAUGGGUAUGCUAUUCUAUAUAUAUAUAUUGCUAUUGUGUGGAUUGUUAAAUGGUGUUGGGUGUUUUUGGUUGGUGAUUGCUGUGAGAGGGAUGUGCUCCGUGGCUUGCGCGCGUUGUGGUCAUUAAAUGUUAUGUUAUAUCUUUUUCUGUCUUAAUGUAUUAUUAUUAUUAUUUUUAGUCUUUUCUCACAGUUGGUGAAACUAAAGAUCUUGUAAACCUGAAAUUUAGUGUGUUUGUAUGUGAAUUUGGGUGUUUUAAUUUUGUCUUAUGUAGUACAACUACACUAUAUUUAUGUUGUUACUGUUAUUUUCCAAUUUUUUGAAUAGUUUAUUGUGUAUAAAGUAAACCUUGAUCAAGGGAAAUGCGCAAUUUAUAUAUUUUUGAUUUUUUGAGUAUUGCCACAGAUACUUUUUAAGAUCGUUUAUUAAAAACAUAAUAAGUAUAUGUGCAUUUUAGCCUUGUGACACAUAAAUUUUUACGCUUAUAGACUUAUGUACAGUACAUGUGUGUUGCAUGCAAAUUAAUUUGACAGUACAAACUAACAAUGAUGUUGAGGUUAUGAGAGUCUAUAUAUUAUGAAAUUAAGGCCUUCUCACAAAAAUUUAACAGCAAUAGAAAUUUAAUCGGCUUUUAUAUUUGUGUAAAAUUUUAUUAGUUGCUUAUUUUCGAAAUAUUAAAUUGGUGUAUGUGACAUGUAGAAUCUUGCAGAGCUAAUAGUAUUGACAUUACAUUUUAGCCUAUUUAUAUAUAUAUAUAUAUAUUAUAUAUAUAUAUAUAUAUAAUUAUAUAUAUAUAUAUUAAUUUCGAUAGCCACACACAGCGGAAAGAUUCGUCUUUUUUCUUAUACGAAACAAAACUGAUGCUCCCCAAGAAUAAACUCGGUCUGAUGAAAUCUUUGUCAACGUAGAUGAGAGAGAGAGAGAGACCUAGAAGUCGUGAUGAUGUACUAGCGAGAGUUGUAACUUGAGUCCGUGGAUGGUUCUUCGAUCCUUGCGGCUAGAGAGUAAAUAAGCCCGAGCUGAGAGAGGAGAGAGAAAGUUUAUAGAGAGAGAGAGAGAGAGAGAGAGAGAGAGAGUUGAGCUAUGAUACUUUUACAAGUAUCACCAUCAUGGUACUAUUAGGUUUUAAGCCAUUGGAUCUACUUUUUGAUUAUUAAUAGCCCUUGGAUUAAAUACUAUUCCACCUACCACCACCUACCACCAUCUAUCACCAUCAUCUCAACCUCACAUCUCUCCAACCAAGGGCUAAAAACACACAAGUAUCACCCCCAUGAUACUUUUACAAGUAUUCUAGCCCUACUCUAUAUAUCUAUUAAACAUAAUGAAUCCACAAUAUUUCUUGCCACGUGGCAAGAAACCCUUCAUUCUUAGGUUAAUAGAUAAUAUCCAUCUCUUAUAUGAAUCCCCAAUAUAAAAUUUACGUUUCUUCUCCACUUCUAAAUGCUUAACCGUUUACCUCUCUAUAUUUAAUUACAUGCAUUAUAUUCUACCAAUUAGUGAGCUUUGUAACUCCAAUCCACUCCUCUCCACCAUUAAUCAUCACUUCUAAAUGCUAUGCUAAACCCUUCACCUCUCCACAUUUAAUUACAUGCAUCAUAUUCUAUCAAUUAGUAAGCUUUGUAACUCCAAUCCACUCCCCUCCACUAUUAAUCUCCACUUCUAAAUGCUCAAUCUUUCACCUCUCCACAUUUAAUUACAUGCAUUAUAUUUCACCAAUUAGUGAGCUUUGUAACUCCAAUCCACUCCCCUCCACCAUUAAUCCCCUCACCCCCUCUUUCUUGCAUGACAUGUUAUUUUUCAUGGAAAAAGGAACAUUAUCAUCUAAUCUCUCACCCCACACUUAUCUCCUUCUCUCUAUCUCAUUGUGUUAACAAAGAUUAUCAGGAUGAUGAAGAAGAAGAGCAUGCGAAGAACGUUGUCUCCUUCAAAAAAUAUCGUCCUGUAAAGUCCAGCCACGCCCCAUAUAAGUGCUCGCUGGGCUAGUCUGCACUGGAGUCGUCGCUCGCCGUGAACCGCCGCCGCCUCGGCUGCCUCCUCGCACGGCUCCCGCGCGCCGGCAACUAGGCCGAGGGGAGCGCCGUCCUAGCCUCCUCUUCGCGGGGAUGUUGCGCGGGAGCUCGCUUCUCAAGAAUUGCAGGAACUUUUUGGUAAAUCAAAUUGUUUAAGAAUUAGGGUUUCUGUGGUUGAUGUGAUGGUAAGACUGUGUCGGUUUAGAUAUCGCAGUUUGGUGAUGCAGAUGAGGUGUUUGUUCAUAGGUUACAAUGGAAAUCCAGAAAUGACUCGGCGCAGGGAGCAACUACCAGCUGAAAAUUAAGAAGAUGUAUGAGAUUUGGAUGAGAAAGAGAAGUGCUCCAAAAAAAUAUUAGUUUUUUUAAGAUUGAUGUUUUUUGUUUUAUUUUCAUAUUAUGAUCAUUUUUUUGAGUAGACACUGUUGUGGGCAAAAUUUCUUUCGUAGAUUAAAAAGUAUGAUGCGGAGAUUUAGAGCCUGAGACGCCAACCAAAAUUUUCUUAAGCCAGAUACGUUAAGUUAUUAUUUAUGUAUUUCAUAUGCUUCUAACUAUUAUUUUAUUUUUUUAACAACUGAAUUUAGUCAUGCAAAUUGACUGUGCUUAAACAUGGUAUAGCUUCCUAUAAGUUGUAAAUAUAAAUUUUAUUAAAAUAUUAAAAAUUUAUUUCUAUUAUCUACCCGCUGCAUCGCGCGGGUCUCUACACUAGUAUAUAUAUAUAUGAUGAGCCAUAAACUUAUGUCAAUUACUAGGGAUGCAAACGGAUCCGGGUUGGUGGAGCUCCCUGUCACGACAUAAAGAUUUUCUCCGCUAUUUUCGCUUUGCAAUCGCCCAAACUCCAAAGCGGACAUCUGACGGAGGUUUUGGCUUGGAAUCUUCUAGAAGCUUCUACGUGGAUCUCGAGGCUGAUGGCGCGGAUGCCGGAGGGUCAAGAGUCCCUUAGAGUUUCUAAGUAGUCAAUAAAUGUAUGACUCUUCGAGUUCUAUGCUUAUUUAUUAGGACCCUUGGGAGACCGUAGCCUAUUUAUUGGCCUCCUCUUUUGGCUUGUAGUUUCAUGCCAUUUGGCAUCUUGUCAUUUGCUUUAUGGGUGGCGAGUGGCCUAUAAAUAGUGUGGCCUCCACCCCCUCUCAUUUCAGAAUCCUUAUUUGUAUUCUCAAGUUUAAAGUAAUAGAAGAGCUUUCUUCUUAUCUUUCUCUUGUACUUAGUCUAGGACGAGUGAGGUCCUAACUUAGCAAGUAGAGAGGCAGGCUUGCUCACUUCGCGGAGGAAGGCGAGCGCCGCACGGGCUUUUGCGAGCAAAUUCGUUUAGUCCGUGACAGUUGGUAUCAAAGCCGGUUCGAGAAGGAGCCAUGUCGUCAUCCGAUGCCGCGGUUGUCGACGCUGGGGGUGAUCCCCCAAAGAAACACUCCAAGCAGAGCAAGGGCAAGGACACGCGAAUCACGAAGGAUUCCGCGUCGGUCGAGGACCGCCUUGCACUGUUGGAGGACAUUCUAUCGAAGGUGGGAGAAAGGUACACCGAAAUGGCCGAUACCUUUAACUCCUUCAAUGACGAUGUUCGCAGUAUGGAGGAGAGCGUCGCCACUGCCAUGGCGACCUUUCGAGGCGAGCUUGAGAAGCUCCAAGGCAACAUCACCCGUCGUGACGAGGAGCGGACGAGCUUGAUCGAGGAGCUAGUCACUCGAGUCGACGAGGUCGAGGACCUCAAGACGAGAGUGACUAUCCUUGAGAAGGCGGUGGCUCGAGGCGGUGAAACGCAGAAGGAGUACACCCCAAAGGUUCGCGUCCCUGAACCCCAAUGCUUAAAGGGUUCGCGCGACGAGAAGGAGAUAGACAAUUUCCUUUGGCACAUGGAGCGCUAUCUCAAGGCGCUAAAGAUGGAGGACGAGGAGGACAAGGUCCAGACCGCUUCCAUGUACCUCACCGACGACGCGAUGCUGUGGUGGCGUCGACGUUCCGCAGAGGCCGAGAAGGGCCAAUGCAAACUGGAUACUUGGGAGGACUUCGUGCGCAAACUGAAGGCACAGUUCUACCCCGAGCACGUCGAAUAUUUGGUGCGGAGGCAACUUCGAUGGCUCAAGCAUACAGGAUCCCUCAAGGAGUACGUCAAGGAGUACUCCAAACUGAUGCUUGCCAUCACCAGCAUGGCCGAGGAGGAUCGACUGUUCUGCUUCCUCGACGGUCUUCAACCGUGGGCUAACAAGGAGCUCGUGGCGAGAGACGUCAAAGACGUGAGCUCCGCUAUCGCUCAGGCGGAGAAGCUGCUGGAGUAUGACAAGCAGGAUUUCGCUCGUGGCAAACCAUCUAAGGCAGGCAAGGCCAAGGGUGGGGGAGACCGCCGUGAGCAGCGUGAUCACAAGGGCCAAGAGCAAAAAGGCCCCCUGCAGAAGAAGAAGAUCUCUUGCUAUAUCUGCGGGGGUGAUCACUGGGCGAGAGAUUGCCCAAAGAAGAAGACCGUCAACACCAUCCAAGCUAAGGAGAGCGAGGAACAAGCGGAGACGAAGAUGGGCGCGCUGUGACUCGUCAGAGCGAUCCAGGGGCAGGCAAGCAACAAACCGCUCAAGAAGGAGCUGCUGUUCGUGGACGUGACCCUCAACGGGAGGGCCACUCGUGCGCUCGUGGACACGGGAGCGACCCAUAACUUCAUCGCCGAGUCUGAGGCCAAACGGCUGGGCCUCACACUCGAGAAGGACACGAGCAAGAUCAAGGCUGUCAACUCUGUGGCACAGCCUGUCGUGGGAGUAGCCAAAGGGGUGACGAUCACUGUAGGACCCUGGUCGGGUACAGCGAACUUCACCGCCGCGACCAUCGACGACUUCAAAGUCAUUCUCGGCAUCGACUUUCUAGCUUCAUCGAAAGCGGUCCCGAUGCCGCAUCUCGGGGCCUUGAGCAUCAUGGAGGAGGCAGCCCCGUGCAUGGUCUUGGCUAGCCGCAGCGAGCCAGCGGCAACCCACACCCUCUCCGCUCUGCAACUGCGGAAGGGGGUAAAGCGCGGAGAGAUCACUUAUCUUGCGGCCAUCCGCGAGGUGAGCGACGAGGACCUCGAGGAGGAGGACCAUCCAGCGGUGAUCGAUGCUGUCCUGGGGGAGUUCAAGGACGUCAUGCCCCAGGAGUUGCCCAAGAGACUUCCACCCAGGCGGGAGGUGGACCAUGCGAUCGAGCUCGAGCCAGGAGCAAAGCCACCAGCAAAGGCACCAUACCGCAUGGCCCCGCCAGAGCUCGAGGAGUUGCAGCGUCAACUGAAGGACCUCCUCGAUGCGGGCUUCAUCAGGCCGUCGAAGGCACCCUACGGAGCACCAGUCUUGUUCCAAAGGAAGAGCGACGGAAGCCUGCGGCUCUGUAUUGACUACAGAGCGCUCAACAAGGUGACGGUAAAGAACAAGUACCCUAUUCCCCUUGUUGCUGACUUGUUUGACCAGCUUGGCGGAGCGAAGUUCUUCACCAAAUUGGACCUUCGCUCGGGGUACUACCAAGUCAGGAUCGCGGAGGGCGAUGAGGAGAAAACGGCAUGCGUGACGAGGUAUGGAGCCUACGAGUUCCUCGUCAUGCCAUUCGGUCUGACGAAUGCGCCGGCGACCUUCUGCACCCUGAUGAACAAGCUAUUCCACCCCUACCUCGACCGCUUCGUGGUAGUGUACCUCGACGACAUCGUCGUGUACAGCAACACUCUGGAGGAGCACGUCGAGCAUCUGCGGACGAUCUUCCAAGUGCUGCGGGAGAACCAGCUCUAUGUCAAAAGGGAGAAGUGCUCCUUUGCGAAGGAGGAGGUGCACUUCCUUGGCCACUGGAUUGGCCGAGGACAACUCCACAUGGACCAGCAGAAAGUGCGGGCGAUCUGCGAGUGGGAGGCGCCCACGACUGUGUCCGAGCUACGAUCCUUUCUCGGACUCGUCAACUACUAUCGCCGCUUCAUCGCGGGCUACUCUGCUCUAGCGGCCCCUUUGACGGAUCUGCUGAAGAAGACCCAGUCAUGGGACUGGACCCCUCGAUGCGCGGAGGCAUUCGAGGACUUAAAGCGGGCGUUGACGGAGGAUCCGGUGUUGCGGCUUCCCGACUGCAGCCGUCCAUUCGAGGUACAUACUGACGCCUCAGACUUUGCCAUUGGUGGUGUUCUCGUGCAGGACGGACACCCCAUCGCCUAUGAGAGCCGCAAGCUCAACGACACCGAGCGGCGAUAUACGGUGCAAGAGAAGGAGAUGACUGCCGUGGUGCACUGCCUUAGGACUUGGCGGCACUAUCUCCUUGGGAGCAAGUUCGUGGUGCGGACGGACAAUGUCGCGACGAGCUACUUCCUUACUCAGAAGAAGCUGUCACCCAAGCAGGCGAGGUGGCAGGACUUCCUGGCGGAGUUCGACAUGGAACUCAUGUACAAACCCGGGAAGGACAACCAAGUGGCUGACGCACUCAGCCGCAAGGCGGAACUGGCAGCGGUAUGCCAGAUCCAAGGCGCGAUUAGGGAGCGAAUCCGCGAAGGGACUUACGAAGACCCUGUGGCCCAAGGACUCGUGCGACUCGUCAAGGAGGGCAAGGCGCAGCGAUUUUGGCUCAGCGAUGGGCUGCUCCUCACCAAGGGGCGGCGCGUCUAUGUGCCCAGAUGGGGCAAUCUUCGUCGCGAGCUCAUGAAGGAGUGUCAUGACUCCAAUUGGGCCGGACAUCCAGGACAAAGGCGGAUAAUGGCGCUACUCGAGGCCGCCUACUAUUGGCCUCGCAUGCACGACGACGUGGAGGCGUACGUGCGGACCUGCCUUGUGUGCCAGCAGGACAAGUUGGAGCGCCAGAAUCCUGGGGGCCUCCUCGAGCCCCUGCCUACACCGACGCGUCCGUGGGAGACCAUUUUCAUGGACUUCAUCUCCGCCUUGCCCAAGGUGGGGACGUUGGGGUCCAUCCUCGUGGUGGUGGGCCGAUUCUCCACGUACGGGACUUUCAUCGCGGCACCAGCGGAUUGCACGGCGGAAAAGCGGCGCGGCUCUUCGUCAGCAAUGUGGUGAAGCUUUGGGGCGUCUCCGAAAGCAUUGUGAGUGACCGAGACCCUAGGUUUACGGGCAAGUUCUGGACAGAGGUGUUCCGGAUCUUGGGGUCGGAGUUGCUCUUUUCCACCAGUUUUCACCCACAGACGGACGGCCAGACGGAGCGGGUGAACGCCCUACUGGAGGAGUACCUGCGGCACUAUGUCAGUGCCAACCAGAAGGAUUGGGUGCAUCAUCUCGACGUGGCCCAGUUCUCCUACAAUCUGCGACGGAGCGAGUCAACCAACCUUAGCCCGUUCGAGCUUGCAACGGGGAGGCAACCACUCACUCCGCAUUCUGCUGCUGCGGGCGAGCAGGGCCGGAGCCCAAUGGCUCUCCAAUUCACUUCUCAUUUGCAGGAGAAGGGGGACAUUGCGAGAGCCUAUCUCGAGAAGGCGGCCUGCCGAAUGAAAAAGUGGGCCGAUGCUAAGCGGCGACCCUUGGAGUUUGCCGAGGGAGAUCGAGUGUUGAUCAAGCUGCAACCGCAACAAUUCAAGGCAUUUCGCAAAGUGCACCGUGCACUUUUGCAGAAGUACAAAGGACCUUUCACUGUCGUGAAGCGAGCGGGCAAGGCAGCCUACAAACUGCAACUCCCCGCCAACCUGAAGAUUCAUCCUGUCUUUCAUGCUAGUUGCCUGCGGCCCUACCAUGAAGACGUUGAGGACCCGAGCCGGGGCGUGUCGCAGCGCGCUCCCGCCACUAUGACCACUGCAAUCGACAAGGAGGUCGAAGCCUUGCUGGACACUCGCACCAUUCGGCGUCGCGGAGUCCCGAGGAGCGUCGAGUACCUUGUCAAGUGGAAGAAUCUCCCGCAUGGCGAGACAAGCUGGGAGAAGACCGACACUCUCUGGAAGUAUCAGAAGCUGCUCGAUGACUUCCAACACCAGCGCGCGACGAGGGCGUCUGCGCAAUAGGCGGGGGAGGUUGUCACGACAUAAAGAUUUUCUCCGCUAUUUUCGCUUUGCAAUCGCCCAAACUCCAAAGCGGAUAUCUGACGAAGGUUUUGGCUUGGAAUCUUCUAGAAGCUUCUACGCGGAUCUCGAGGCUGAUGGCGCGGAUGCCGGAGGGUCAAGAGUCCCUUAGAGUUUCUAGGUAGUCAAUAAAUGUAUGACUCUUUGUCACGCCCGGGUACCAGCGGAAGCAUACCCGGUCGCGUGCACAGACCCGCCGUGUACACCACAACUCAAGUAUACACAAGGCGUCUACAAACCAUAUAGUAAAAGCAUAUAAUUCUAACUAGGUAAUCAGAGCAAGACUUUUAAGCUUAAACUUAUCCAAACCCUUUAGAAUGUGUAGGGCAGUUUUAUGUACCUUUUCCCACGUUCAAAUUUCGUAAUUGACCAAAUUCGAAGCAUUACAAUUGAUAAUGCAUUUGCGAUGCACUUUUCCAUUUCUAGUUACUUACUUACUCUAGUAACUUAUCAAAAACCUUUCAAUAGUUUUGCAAAAGUCAUAGACCAGUUCCAAAAGCCGAUCCACCCCUCGAACUUACCAAGAGGCUCAAGAUUCAGUAUAUUACAUUCACCCCUCCUAAAAAGAGGUUUCGUCCGCGAAACUAGAACUGAAUCCUCAGUCAACAUCAUUUUCUCACCAUUAUAAGUUCCUCUUUCUUCCAUGAAAUCCAUGAUUUUAUUGGAUGAAGUCUUUAAUGGAUAAAGUUCCAUUUCAACUUUUUCUAAUGGUUCGAGGACUAUAUCUAACCUUUCUCAUGUGAAAGGGGUUUAAUCAUUCAUUCGAUAAGAAGAAUUCCAAGGAUACUCUCUUCAAUAGUGCUUAGUAGUUACCCUUGGUACUUAUCCUGAGUUCCGAAGAAUUAUCAUAUAUUAGCAGUGGAAUUCUUAAUCAUCCACUGAUUCUCAAAAGUCAAAACUCUUUUAAAAUAUUGCACUCCCAGUGCAAUUCCAUUCCCUAGGUUACCUUUGAUAUACAACUUGUGUUUUACAAGGUGAUCAAAUACCAAUGAUUCCUUUGCAUUAUCCAGCAGUCAUAACUUUCUCAUACAUCUUGUAGUUAUUAUAUUCCUCAAUUAUAACUAGUUUGAUAAUGACUAGUUAUUCCUGGUAGUCCCUUUUCAAUAGCAAAUUGAGAUUGAUUAUCCAUCAAUCCAUUAAAGGUGGAUUCCUGAUUAACUAUUCAGCAUUAUAUCCCAAUACCUUAGGAUCACAUGUCAUUUUGCCACUAGGCGAGAAUCCCAAUUCACAUUAAUGGAUGCUGCUCCACAUCAAUACCUAUGUUCAGAUAAAUUCCAUUAAUGCUGUCUCUACAGCUUUACGGCUUUCCUUUACACCAAUCAUAAAGUAAAGCAUGACCAUUUCAUCACUGGAAAAUUUUCCUCAUAUACUCAAAUCAUUUUAUGCAAGCUUAAGUUGGAGCUUUGCUUCUACCAAAAAUCGCUUGUGACAUCACUAUCUGCUCCUGUAAGUAGAUCAAUUUAGAUAAACUUCUUUGAUACUAUUCUGAGAGUGUGAGGCUCAAAGUAUUCAUUGUCCCAAAUCCAAUUUAGGCAAUAGAGGGGAAUCAAUUUAUACUUCACCCAUAAGUUCUCUAUUGCUGUUACUCUAUAUAUUUUUCCAUAAGUAGGGAAGAACUCUGAACAAAACCUUUCGUCAACUCACAAUUAAAGCAUCAUCAUUUGCUUUCGAACUGUAUGAGAUUUAUCCUGAUAUCACUAUCAGUCAAGAUAUUAAUUCUCAAAGAUUAACCUCAUGCAGUUUGUUCCCUGAAGCUUAAUUCCAAUUAUACAUAACUAGAAUCAGAAGAGAAAGAAACAAGUAGCUGGGUAAUCUCUUUUUCAAUAUUCUAAGAUGCUUAGUUCCAUUAGGAGAGUCUCAUCUCACUCCUUUUAAUUCAUCUUCCUGUUUAGUCAAUAUCUGCCUUGCAGGAUUCACCGAACAAACAACUGGAUCAAUCCUUCAUAACCUUUUUCUAUCAUAGAAGACUGCAGCUUCCUCAGAUUGCUACUCAAUCUAUAAUAUGCAUCCAAUACUACAGGCUGAUCAAAAGAUUAUCAGCUCUUGACUUAAUUUAACCAUUAAUUGUGUUCCAAUUAAAAUCACGAUAUUCGACACAUAGUCGAAUAGCUCAUUUAAUCUCACCACAAGUGACAUUAUUUCACGAAAAUGAAGCACUAGGCAUAAAACAUUCUCUAUUCAACAAGUUCACAAUUUGUGACUUGUUUAGGAAUAGCACACAACCACUACUCAAGAACUACCCUUCACUUUGAGGGUUCUUACAAUUUCACAGUAUCAGCCAAUUAGGCUCCACCCUUUCUAUGAUUACCUAAUUUAGGUAAAAUGAUCAUUCUCGCAGUCAGCGAGGCUAAACCCUUCAAGAUGCAUUGCAUAAUGUUCAAAGUUCCAAGGCGAAUCAAUUUAGUUCGCACAAACCAUGGUAUAAAGUAUCUCCCAACUUAAUUGUAAUCAAAACCACUCUAUCAUAGGUAAGGCCAAUCCAUUUGUUGGCAUACACUAAGCCUUCUCAUUAGGCAGAGCGUCAAGUAGACCAUUCUAUUCAAUCAAUCCUACAUACAUGCAAAAAGGAGGGAAUUGAUAUUAAUCAACUCGGCCAACAGCCGAUCAAAAAUGCAACUAAAGCCAUCAUAAUAAUCAUGAUCGAAUUAUAGAAACAUUACACAAUGUACUACCUGCAAUAGUCAUCCCCGCCGUCGUAUCUGGCUUUAUGAUUCCAUCGGCGUACCUCCACUAGGUACUUUUUGCAACGAAGUCGGUGCAGAUACCUUAGUCAACAUGUUAUUCCUUGGGCACUCAGAACGAAAAUGGCCCUCCUGACCACAUACAAAACACUUUCCUUUCCGCUGAGGACACUUUGGGGGAACAUGCGGACCUCCACAAAUUACACAUGGCCGUGGUGCUCGACCACUCGAUCUUCUUUGCUUAGAAAAAGAAUCACGUUUCCAAAGUUGAUUCUUCUUUAAUUUUCUUGAUGAUUCUCCAACAUGUAAUUGAUCGCCCUUGGUAGCCUCUUUGGCUCCUUCAGUGCAUUCCACACCUUUUCUUACGGUCAAAGUACGAUCCGAAACCUCGUAGAAUUUCUUGAGAUCAGCCAUCUGUUGAAUCAACAGGUUCUCCAACCGUCUGAUUCCUUCAUCCUGUCGGCGCAAAGCCUCGGCUUGAAGUAGCGUCACAUUCGCUUGUCGCUCCACCACUCCAACUAGAGUAGCCAGCUGUUCUUUUAAUUCCUGAACCUCGUUAGAUUCAGAAGGUUCAUGUCUUUCUGGCUCAGUUGCAUCAGUUGCCGUAGGGUGCAUCUUUGACAUUGCAAGCUGCAACAAACAAAAUAGGCACAGGUUAAAACAACCCAUGCUAUCGUAGCCCCACUCAUAAUUGUAAAAUCCCAAUCAUGCGAAAGUAAUGAAAUGUCCGCCCACUAUUCCCCAAUAUCACGUUGUCGGCCGCCAACGUGAUUUUUGGAAGAACAUAGAGGUUAUUCAUUUCAAUCGAACUCCAACAAUUUUGGAGUUAUAAGUAUAACCCAAUCAUAAUACUUUCGCUCAACAUAGUCGCAAAAGACCCCGUCUCUCACGCUCCUAAUCCUGAUCAUCCAACUGGCCUAAGGUUUACUAGGUCCACUAAGACUCAACCCUAGGCUCUGAUACCACUAUAAUCUGUCACGCCCGGGUACCAGCGGAAGCAUAUCCGGUCGCGUGCACAGACCCGCCGUGUACACCACAACUCAAGUAUACACAAGGCGUCUACAAACCAUAUAGUAAAAGCAUAUAAUUCUAACUAGGUAAUCAGAGCAAGACUUUUAAGCUUAAACUUAUACAAUCCAAACCUUAAAACAGGAAAUAAGAACAAAGUACGAUUUACAAAAACUUAAUAUACAUCUCUGUACUAAACUAUAUAAACUGCUGGAGGUGGUCUAAUACACGUCCAAAAAGGCGCUAGCUAGCCGUUGACCCCUCGCCAGGAACCCUAGCCUUUCUCGCUGUAGAAGGCUCUGUAAAAACAACAACAAAGAGGGCGUGAGAACUAUUAAACAAUAGUUCCCAGUGGGUAAGCCGCCGAAAGUGGCGAAGUACACCACUAGGUCAACUGUGGCACGAGUAGAUAGCAAUAAAUAAGCGAGUAAAAUGCAGAUAAUACAAUAAGCAAUUACAUUCAACAGAUAUUAAAGUAACUACUCAUGCUAUUUGCUCAACAAUAAAUAUACAUCAAUAAAUUGCAGGUAUCAAUUAUCAUGAUAGAUUCCAUCAAUCAUAUUACUUGACAAUUUAACCAAACAUAUACCAGAUUGUAUGCAAAAUAAUUCACUUUACCGAAAAUUACAGACGAUAUAAUGUAAUUACCUUUUUCAUUAGCAAGAAAUAAACAUAAUGUCAUUCAUUAUGUUGCUAACCAAUCAUGAUGUCAACUUCUAGGUUAUUCAUCGCUAGGCUCACUUUAGAUGUCAACUUUCUAGUAUGUUCAUCAAUAAGUUCACUUAACCAAAGACAUAAAGUAACUGUACUACUAUGUCCAGCUAAGGUUAAAGUACUUGACAUAACCCAAUUUUCAACAGACUUACACAAGGUAAGUUCAAGCCGCGCCGUGCCUAAUGGCCCCGUGGUAGUCAACAUCCCCACUCGAGGAAUGAGCCUCCCCCACGGCAUUCCAUUUCGGCGCCCACUUCGUACAUUUGCGAGCAUCUGUCACUAAGCUGUUCGGGAGUGCUGGCUUGGGGGGGAGCGACCCCGCAAGCGUGUGCAAACGCGCACAAUGGCAUGCAAGCCGUAGUCCAUAGUACCAGUCUCACAACAACAUCAUGUCCCUGACAUGGAAUCUCAACUCAAGCCACUCCGGAACGCGGGGCUUGGGGGGCGCGACCCCCGCAAGCAUGUACGAAAGAGCAUAAUGGCAUGCUAGCUAUAGUCCAGGGUACAAAUAUCUCAACGACAUCAUGUCUCUGACAUGGAAUCUCAACUCGACCCAAGGUCGGCACUGUAGUACCCAAUCAUAAGUCACUAUCAACAACUUGUUGAUAUGAUUCUACCAAUAACUAGUAUAACUUGACAAGUUAAGGCUUUACAUCACACUCGUGAUUCUAUCAGGCUAUACCUGGUCAGUGAUUCACAACCUCUCACUACUCCUUACACAGAAGGAAAGUGGUUUACUAAUGUUCUGUUCAAAGACUCAUGGCACAUAUCCUGUAGUCCAAUAAAUCUCUACUCGACUAUACAAGUAUGUUAUCAUAUCCAAAUCUAGUUAUCUACUAGAUUAUAUUCAGUUGUAUAACAUUCGAGUUAUGCUUUCAUGCUCAAUUCUAGUUGUUUAACUAGAUCAUAUAUCGUAACAUGAAUUUCAAACAAAUCUAUCAUGUGAAAGUAGGAAUUAACAGGUCAAUACAAGUAAGGAAAAUAAACGACGGAACACUCUUCACAUGAUCUCUAUGCCAUUCACGAUGUUACCAUGAUAUGAGCAUACUCAAAUAAUUACCUUUACGUGAUGUAUUCAGAGUUUAACCAAGAUACUAAUCAUAUCAAUUGGCAUAGUCCAAUUCUAGGUACAUCGUUCCCUUUUAUUGCUCAGCUGAGCUAAAUGGUACCUUCACGAUUUUACCAUCAUAUCUACUUGAAUGACAACCAGUCCAAUUAUUUAUGCGAGCUACGAAUAUCACGAAUAUAUAGUAAUCCAACAGAUAACCAUGUGGAGGGAACUAAUCAUGAGUUUUCCAGUACUGUUAGGAAUGCGAUCAUAUCCAAUAUGAUCUACACAUGAAUGCGUGUCUUAAUGCCAUGAACUAUACAUAUAUUCACAAGAAUACGUAAUAGCUUCAACUCAUAUGUCAAAGGAAACAUAGAGGGAAAUUCACCCAUUUCGGGAAAGUCCGACCCACCUAUCACCAAGCUCAAUCCAGCCAAAAGGAGUCCCGAACCCUGCUCAACGGAGUCUCGACGCUGCUGAAAACGAAACACGAAAAGCGCAUCAAAACUACGGCCGAAAUGUCCAAUUUCGGUACAAUUUGCACUUAGUACAAAGUAAUAACUUGAAUCCCUGUUUUGGGUUCAGUUAAUACCUCAAAUUAAGCUUCUAAAAGCCUUUACACAUCAGCCGGAGAUACUCCGAAAGUCCGUUGCAAGCUCGCUGCGAACAAUUUCCAAAACGGCAUCAUAGUCGUCAAGUAUCAAUAGAUAUAGUCGGAAUCUUGAAAAUUCAGUUUCCUCACAGCAAUUUCAGCUUACCUGUAGUUGGAACACCUUCCAAACCAGCCUCCCAGGUCACCAAAAGAGUUUAAUGUGAUUCGCAAACCUGCUGGGAAGAGAAAAGCUCAAACUGCAUCAAUUCGCUCGAUUGAUCCGCGUAUAGGCCGAAAUAACUUCAUAAAUAAUGGAACAUCUCCAAUAAGCUUCAAAGUAGCUUAGCCCAGGUCUAAGGAGGUUCAAUCACAGCUAAUUAACUCAUAUUUAAUAGCUGAAUUCUCAGUUUAAGUCAGUUGGAAGCAAAAACUCAAAAUCACAAAUCAAAUCGACGAAUAGAACGCCGAUAACGGAAAAAUCGAGUCGUUUACCUUUUCAAGCUUCCAACCAGCAACUCACUGGUUUGGUGCUGCGAAAAACCUUCUAAAAUACCCUCUCACACGUCCACAAAGGCUCAGCGACACUCGCCAGCAGCAAAGAACAAGCGAGGCGACGAAAUCGAGCUAAAUCAUUGAUUUCAAUGUAGAGAGAGAAAACUUCUAGAGAGAGAGGGAGAGAAGGUGAAGGAAACCCUUCUCUGGACUCUAGCAACAUCCACAGAGCUCCUGGAGUCGUCCUGGGAUCAAAUAGAUAGGGAUAGAAUGUGAAAUUACCAAAAAACCCUUGCUGCCACGUUUCUGGCAUUGUGUACCGGUACACGAUGUGGCUGUACCGGUACAGCAAGCAGAAAAACACUGAUUUCGCCAGAUUAAUGCACUUUCUUACUUUUAACCCUCCAAUCACUCUCUAACUUGUCCAAAAAACUUAUCCAAACCCUUUAGAAUGUGUAGGGCAGUUUUAUGUACCUUUUCCCACGUUCAAAUUUCGUAAUUGACCAAAUUCGAAGCAUUACAAUUGAUAAUGCAUUUGCGAUGCACUUUUCCAUUCCUAGUUACUUACUUACUCUAGUAACUUAUCAAAAACCUUUCAAUAGUUUUGCAAAAGUCAUAGACCAGUUCCAAAAGCCGAUCCACCCCUCGAACUUACCAAGAGGCUCAAGAUUCAGUAUAUUACACUCUUCGAGUUCUAUGCUUAUUUAUUAUGACCCUUGGGAGACCGUAGCCUAUUUAUUGGCCUCCCCUUUUGGAUUGUAGUUUCAUGCCAUUUGGCAUCUUGUCAUUUGCUUUAUGGGUGGCGAGUGGCCUAUAAAUAGUGUGGCCUCCACCCCCUCUCAUUUCAGAAUCCUCAUUUGUAUUCUCAAGUUUAAAGUAAUAGAAGAGCUUUCUUCUUAUCUCUCUCUUGUACUUAGUUUAGGGCAAGUGAGGUCCUAACUUAGCAAGUAGAGAGGCAGGCUUGCUCACUUCGCGGAGGAAGGCGAGCGCCGCACGGGCUUUUGCGAGCAAAUUCGUUUAGUCCGUGACAUCCCGCCCCGAUCCGCCCCGAUGGGGGCAGUAAAUGGGAGAAAAUAAACGGAUUCGAGGCAAGAAACGGGGUAAGUUUUAUGAUCCGAGACGGAUUCGCGGUAGGAAACGGGAGAAAUUUUGAUCCGUCCCGAAUCCGCCCCGAAUCCGCCCCGCCAUGAUCUGUCCCGAAUCCGUCCUGAAUCCGCCCCGAAUCCGCCCCGAAUAUUAUUUGUAUUUUUAAAAAAUAUUUCUAAACAAUAAUAUAUUUACAAAAAAAGUUCAAAAUACAAAUAAGUUAUUACUCUCAUGUUCAAAAUACAAAUAAGUUAUUACUCUCAUUUUUAAUGUAUUUGAAACAUUUGAAUUUUGUUUUGAAUUGUGAUUGAUAUUUUUAAUUUUUACCAUUAAUAUUGUUAAAUUAUAUAUACAAUAUUAUUAAAAAUUAUUAAUUUAUAUUUUACAAAAUAUUAAUAAUAUUAUAAUUUUAUAAAAAAAUAUUAGUUGACGGGGCGGAUUCAGGGCGCCCGCGGAAGGCGGGUUACGAGGCGGGGCGGAUUAUGAGAUGUAUUUUUUAACCCGUCACGAAUUUGGGGCGGAAGGCGGGGCGGAAUUUUGCUAGUCAGGGCGGGAGGCGGGGCGGGUCUCCCGCCCCCAGAUUCGCCCCGUUUGCAUCCCUAUCAAUUACUAUUAGCUUCCGCAAAAUUCUGACAUGUCACGUAUACCAAUUUUAAUUAUGUCAAACCGGUUUGAGGCCAAUAUUUUACCUAUACACGCGAUGUCAUCAAAUUCAAUGAACCUCAUAUGUUGCGAAAUUUUAUGAGACUUGUAUCAAACUAAAGCAGUUUGAGACCGAGAUAUAUACUAUCCGUAUGCAUGGACUUAUAACAUUCACGUGGUACACUUAUUCAUGCGGAUUUUGUUCACGGCUUGUUUGAUAAUAGAUACGAAUUAGAGAGUUGAGCUGAAAUGGUAUUGAUAGUAAACGGACUAUAUUGUCACUAAUUAAUUUGUUUUCGCUAAUGGAGCCUCCAAAUCAACGAUCGGUAUCGUUGAACAUAAUAUAUACCAAUUGAAGUAUUUAGAAAUAAAAUUUUAAUUCUUUUCGAUAUAAUUAACCUAAUGAUUAAAAAAUUUCAGAAUUUAUAAUUUUAAUAGUCGAUAUCAGACGUUUUCUCGUUUAAUAGUUUAAAAAUAUUCAAAUUAAUUGAAUUUUGAUUUGAAAAUUUUUUAAACUAUUUAGAAUAAGAUCUACAUUCUGGAUCUUGAUUACAAGAUUCCUAUCAUCACUUUUUAAAGAAUAUUUGUUUUCAGUCGUUAUUUUUAUGCCCACUUGAUGGACAAAAAAAUAAUAUCGAAAAAGUAUGAAAUUUAAUUUUUAGAUGCUUUAAGUGGUAUAGAUCAUAUUCAACGGUGCCAAUCAUCAAUUUGGAUGCUCCAUCAUUAAAAACAAAUAAAUGACAAUGAAAUCCGUUUGCUACCAGUAGCAUUCCAGUUCAACUCACAAAUUAGAAUGCUAACAUAUAUAUAUAUAUAUAUAUAUAUAUAUAUAUAUAUAUAUAUAUAUAUAUAUAUAUAUAUAUAAGGGUCGCGCUACUAUACUUAUUAGUGUACGCAUCGCUCUCGUACUCAUAAAUCAUUUCGAUGAUAGAACUUCCGAAUCGACGAUCCAUAUCGUUAUGUUAUUUACAGCAUUUAAAACUUCUAGAAUCAAAUUUUAUAAUUUUUCGACAUCAUUUACCUUAAGAUCAAGAGGUCACAAAUUUUUGAUAAUUUUUAAUGGUCGAUAUGAAUACAUGCUAGUUUAACGGUGUAAAGAGAAUGAAAUUUAUUGAAUUUUUGAUAAAAAAUUCUAUUCACUACCUAAAUAAAGAUCAAUAACUCCGAUCUUGAAUUGAAGGAUCCGAUCAUCCUUUUUUAGGACGUCGUUCGAUUUUGACCGUUCAUUUUAUCCCCGCUUGAUGGACUUUAUUAUGAUUUCAAAAAUUUACGAAAUUUAUUUCCUAGAAGUUUCAAAUACUUUAGAUCAUAUUUAACGGAGUGAAUCGCCGAUUCGGAAGCUCCAUCAUCGAAAACAACUUUAUGAUACGAGGCUCUAAUGCUCAUAAUAAUAGUAGUGACGGCCUCUCUUCUCUCUCUAAUAUAUAUAUAAAAGAAGUUGCUCCAACUAUUUAACUUAAACUUAAUUUUGUUGGAUUCGAUCCCAUUAACAAAACACAUUUUGGUCACUAAUAAUAUUUAGUGAAGCCUUAACCCAGCAGGUUUCUUUUUUUUUUGAGAGAUUGGUAGCACGCUAUCCGUUUCGUUAAUUUCAUUUAAAAAUAAACUUAGUUAGAAAUGUUAAUAAACUAGGAUUUAAAUUUGGGCCUCGGAUACCAACCACCAAGCUCUUAGAAACGGUCGGUAACCCAGCAGGUUUCAGAACAACUUCCGAGGGAGUUGCUAUCUAGAGAAGGUAGUAUUUGUUGUCAAUGUUCACUGACUCAAGUCAAUAAGAAAGUAUAGAUUAGUAUUGGUAUUAUUUGUCGACUUGUGCCGGGACAUUUUAUAUCUUAAUUAUAAGAAAAGAUUAUAUAUAUAUAUAAGGGUGGCUAAUUGUGUCAAUUAUUAUAUAUAUUAUAUUAUAUCAUUAUCAGGGUAAAUAGCACGUUUGGUUCUCAAACUAUGAGUCGAGUGACGUUUUGGUCAUCAAACUCUAAUUUAUUAUAAUUUCUGAUUCAAACUUUUUUAGAAGUUUUACAAUUGAAUCCUCCCGUUAGCUUGUCCAGUACCAUCUGUACUCAAAAUGCAUUUUCUUUAUUUACAACUCAAUUUAUAUAAUUAACUAAAUAUUAACGUAUUGUUAAUAUAGAAGUGAUAAAGCAGUAUUACGAUUAAUGAUGCGUCAAUAAUUACGAUGUUAUAUUACUUUUACAUCAACGAUAUGUACGGUUCGAGGACCAAAGCAUCACAUACCUCAUAGUUUGAGGACUGCGUAAUUUGCCCUUAUAUAUAUCAUUAUUAUUUUACGGUAGUUGAGUAGAUUAUAAACAAUAUUGCAUGGCAAGUUGCAUGAGUAGGUUCUAAAACAAUGGCAAGUUGCACCUCUUCUUGUCCAUGCUUAAUAGAUGCCUCCUAUGUUUGUCCCAUGUAAGAGCAAUGCAUCCAAUGGUCGGAUCAAUUUAAUCGCACUAGUUUUAUCACAAUUCUAUUUUUUUUAAUACUAAAAUUUCAUAAAAAUUCUUUCGAUCCUUGGAUAUAGGUGGGCUGUAAUUUAAAUUUACACGCCUAUUUUGGGAGUAUGUAUAGUUAGAUGUACACUUUAAAAAAGAUGUAUGAUUUACAUUUCAUCAUUUCAAAUAAGAUUUACAAAAUUUCUUAAAUUUUUAAAAUUUUAAAAAAAAGUUGACAAGACCAAGUCUCUGGAUUGAGAUGUGCAUAAUAUACGCCACCCUUUUUGAUACAUACAAAGAGCAGUGCUAGUAAAAAAACAAAAUCUUCAAAUUUUUAAUUAAAAAAGAAUAAUAAUAAAAUAAGUGAGUAUUAGGCUUAGGCUUUCUUUGGUAUUGCGAGUAGAUUGUUUAUGUGCGGUGAGAAAGUACGUUGGAAAAAUAUCCUAUUUGUUUCCGUACGUAUUUUCUGCGGUCCCACUGGAGAACACAAAAGCAUAUCCCUAUAUCUUUUUUCUCAACUCCAUUUUAUCUAAUAGCGUUAGAUAGACCUCAAUAACAAACUAAGGCUUAGUUUGGUAUUGAGCCUAUCUAACGCUAUUAGAUAAAAUGGAGUUGUGGAAAAAACAUAUAGGGAUAUGCUUUUGCGUUCUACGGUGGGACCGUAGAAAAUAUAUCGUAACCGACUCAUUACGAUAUACAGAACACAAUAUUUUUUUGAGAAUAGGUACGUAGCACGCUACCUUCUUCAGUCAUUGGAAGGAUGAGUUAGGCUAUAGGGGUGAAGCAGCCAGGGCCUCAAGGCAGAAUGACACGAAAAAAAACGAUCAGCUGCUUGAGUCUUUCCACUACCGAAUGUCUUUCCGUACGAACGCAAUAUUAUGUACGGAAACAAACAGGAUAUUUUUCCAACGUAGUUUCUCAUCGCACGUAAUGCAAUCUCCCCACAAUCCCAAACGAAGCCUUAUUAGACGCGCGGUAGAAAGAAAGCAUACAUUAUUGGCGUAUAGACAACAUUUGCUUGAUAAUAUAUUUUAAAAAGGAUAAUUGCCUAUAUACCCCUCAAAACUUUGAAAAAAUCUUAUUUAUUCCUAUUUUGUUUUUCUUUCUAAUAUACCCCUUAUAUGUUCCUCCAUUAUUUCAAAAUACCCCUACAGUUAGAAUCCGUUAAAUUAAUUUGGGUUAAACAUGAGUUAAAUAUCUAUUAUAGUUAAAAAAAAUUGAAAAUGUCACUUUUGCCCUUAAUUUAAGGGCAAAUAAAAAAAGCUGGUAAUGAUAGAAUGAUAUAUUUGAAAAUAUCAAAAAAUAAAAUAUUUUUUUGUGCCCUAAGGACAAGAUAGUAUUUGUCGUCAUUGUUCAUUGAGUCAAGAAGUCAAUAAGAUAAUAUAGAUUAGUAAUGGUAUUAUUUGUCGGCUCGUACCAUUUCAUAUUACCUAAUUAUAAUAAAAGAUUGUAUAUAUAUAUAUGCGCGCAGAUACAGACGAUCGAGGGCGUAGUUGAGUCAAUCUAUCCACAUCAGUGCAUGUUUGGUCCUCAAACUAUGAGUCGUCUGAUACUGUGAUUCUCAAAUUUUAAUUUGUUGUUAUUUAUAGUCUGAACUUUUAGAAUUUUAUAAUUAAGUCGAUCAUAUAAUCCAAUUCUGAUUAACUAAAUAUUGAUGUAUUGUUAAUGCAGAAAUAAUUUAGUAGUAUUUGUCAUUAAUGAUGCGCAAGUAAUAACGACCUUGUCUUAGUUUUACAUCAACGGUGCGUUUGAGGACCUAAAUAUCACGUGUCUCAUAAUUUGAGAAUUAAACGUGUAAUUUGUCCUUAUAUCAUUAUUAUGUUUUUUCGGUCGUUGAAUAGAUUAUAAACAAUGCCAACACUACAGUUAGCAUCCACGUUCAUCUUCCAUUCCAUCCACAGAGUGCAGCCGGCUUCUACCCCGCGUUCAUCUUCCAUUUCAUCCCACCGCUUCCAGCCCUGCUGUUGCCGUCCACCGGUGGAGUGUUUGCCGGCUUCCAACCGCGCAGUUGGUGUCGAAGUUUCCAAAAACCCAUCGCUUCCAACCCCGCUGUUGCCGUCCACGUUGCUGAGUGCCUACCGAUUCGGAUCCCACCGUUGCUAUCCAUCUAUCUUGGUGAGUGCCCAUAUAUAUGAAGGAAACUUCAAAACUCCUAUGUGGUUUCGUAUUUUUUUUUAUUUUAGUACUAUAUGGUUAAAAAUGUAUUAAGUUAUUUAUAGUUCGCACUUUCUCACUUUAGUACUAUGUGGUUUAAAGUAUAUCAAGUUAGUAUUCUGUGGUUUCAUUUUUAUAUCAAGUUAGUAACAUGUGGUUUUAUUUUUCUCUUUUUAUUAUUUAUUUCGGGGUUUUUUUUUUCGUUAAAAGAGUGACAAAGUUAAAACUAAAGGAUUCUAAAAUGAAUAUUCAAUAAAUCUAAAUAAGAUAUCUAAAGUUUUUUGUAUAUAAUUUAACAAAAUAUUAAAUCACAAGGUAUUAAAGUAAGAAAGUACGAAACCACAUGAUACUAAUUUGAUACACUUUAAACAAUAUGGUACUAAAGUGAGAAAGUACAAAACCAUAAGAUACUAACUUGAUACACUUUAAACCAUAUGAUACGAGAAAGUGCGAAACCACGUGAGGGUAUUUAAAGUUUUUCCUAAAUUAAAUAACAAUUCUUUUCUUCUUAGCCUUCAUUUAGCCGUAAAUGGAGUGUUGUUUGGAUUCUUUAUGCACUUCUCAUCCGAUCGGCACCACGGGAGCGGAGCCUUCCCCUUCCAACACAUACUCUUUUUCUUUUUUUUUUACCUACACAAAUUAUUUUUUAAAAUUUAUCUUACCGUAACAUCCCAAUAAUCUCAUAUCGAAUAAAAAAUAAUUUUAAUUGAAAUAUAUAAGAUCUUUCACACUAAUAAUAAUAAUCGAACUUAAAUAUUUUGACCGCUAGCUAAGGCCUAACGAGUUAUUAUUGUUAACUUAUCGAGUUGUUACAAUUAAUAUCAGAACCAUAUACCAGUCGAAAGUAUAAGAGCUAAGUGUAUACAGGACAAACUACUACACUAAUGGAUUUGGUGGGAGCCACCUAAAUCUGGCAAUCUUGAUCCAAACCUGUAGGUACCCGCGGGUUAUCCAUAAAUUUACGGGUAUGGGUAUCAACUUUUCAAACCCAAAAAAUUACGGGUAAAAUGGAUAGUAACCGACUAAGCAGUGAGCAUUUUGGGUAACUAUCUGGUAUCCGCACAUAUAUUUUUUAAUUACAAAAUAAAUUUUCUUAAUUAAUAUAUACUUUUUAUUUAUUCAUCCUAAAAAUCCUAACCCUAAUUUUUUAUUGCGAUUCUUUUAUAUUAUGAAAUAUUUGUGCUUUAAGAUUUUAAAUAUUUUUAUUGUAUGUUAUAAUAUUUUAAACAAUGAGUUAUAUUAUGCCUUUAAAACUUAUAUAUAUAUGCUUUGCAUUUAAAAAAUACAUGAGCAACAAAAAAAGAAUUGUGAGUAACCUGCAUAUACAUCCGCCCACCCGCGAGCGGGUAUGGAAAAAGAUGUUGGCUACACAAAAUUUGUGGAUAAAUUUUAUCCAUGUCCAAGUAACCCGCUGGUAUAAUAAUCCGCCUGCGAGUUACCCAACCCGCCUGUUUGCCAAGCCACAUUUAGAAUCUCACAUUGUCUAAUAAUUCUUUAUUGGGUUUGGACAUGAAGAGAACAUCAGGAUCUUACAAGGUGACAUACUAAUAGAUUUGAUGGGAGUCACCGCUUGAAUCAAUAGGAGUCACCUCUAGAAUUUCAUAUCACCUAUUUAUUUUUUUAUCGGAUUUGGAUCUGAAGAAAAGGAGAGUCUAUAACGCCGGUGGAAAAAUAAUUCUAAUUGGAAUAUACGAGACCUCGCAUGCUAAUAAUAAUCAUAAGGUUUAAAAUAUUUUGACUCUCGGUUUGAGCCUAAAAAUUUAUUAUUAUUAUUAUUGUUCGCGGAUUGGAUCGUUAUACGCACCGUAAAAAUUUCGGCGAAUCAUGAUAUAAAAUCCGAUAAGAUUGGAUCGUUAUACGCACCGUAAAAGUUUAGUAUGAAUCGCUUAGAAUUCGAACUUGGGUCUCGAAUAUCAACAACCGACGCUUUGCCACUUGCUCUAGGGACGGCCAGUUGUUUGCUCAUUGCUAUUCUUAUUACAAGAGUGUACCAAUGCAUCUCUUCUUGGCCUUGCCUAUAGAUGCCUCCUGUUAGAUGGGUGAGCUGUAAUUAAAAUAUACAUUCCUCUUUUUUGGUAUACAAAUAGCUAAUAUACACUCCAAAUAAAAAUGUAUAAUCUAUAUCCCAUCAUUCUAAUAUAUUUACAAAAAAUUUAAAAUUUUAAUAUAUUUUUAAAAAGGUUGACAUGACAAAAGGCCUCGGAUGAAGGUGUGUGUACUACACACCAUUUUUUGAGGUAUAUAAAUAGCAUUGCUAAAAAAAAAUAAUUAAAAAUUUUAGUAAAAAAAAAAAUAAUAAAUGCACUUUUUUUCAAGCAGGAUAUAUCCCUCUUUAAUCAAAUAAUAAUAAUAAUAAUAAUAAUAAUAAUAGUGUAUUUUUAAACCAUAAGAAAGCCUAUAUUGUAGGGCGCAUUAGAUAGCAUUACUCAAUAAUAAUUUUUAGCAAUCAAACAUCCCUUGCACAAACAGCAAAGGAUUUGGUGGUUGGUAUUCUAGGUCUCAUAUUCGAAACUUAAUUACUUCACAUUUUCAACUAAAUUUAUUUUUAAAUAAAAUAAAUAAAACACGUAACAUAUUAUUUUUUUCUCAGAAAAAAAAAAACCAGCAAAAAACUCAAGUCAAUAUGAUAGUAUAGGCUAUAUAUAAGAAUAGAUAAGGACGAGGGCUUAGUUGAGUCAAUUAUUAUUAUUAUUAUUAGGAAAAAUUACAUUUUUGGUCCUCAAACUACGAGCCGGGUGGUUUUUGAUUCUCAAAUUUUUAAUUCGUUACAAUUUUUUAUUUGAACUUUAAUUUCUCAGAGUCAAUACGAUCAAAUGUUACAACCUACUUUUGAUGGACUAAAUACCGAUGCAUUAUCAAUGGAUAAGUGAUGUAGCUAGUAGUAUUUACGAUUAAUCAUGUAUCAAUAAUUACGACGUUAUGUUACUUUUACAUCAAUGAUAUACUGGACGGCUAAAAUAUUACGUGUCUCUCAUAGUUUGAGGACAAACGUGCAAUUUGCUCUUAUAUAUCAUUAUUAUUUUUCAGUAGUUGAAUAGAUUAUAAACAAUGCCAAGUUGCACCUCUUCUUGACCGCGUGAAUACAUAGAUAGAUGCCUAAUAUGUUUGUUUCAUGUAAAAGCAAUGAAUCCAAGAGUCAGUUUUAUAUAUAUAUAGCACUAAUUAUUAGUCUUAUCGCAAUUCAUUUUUUUUAAUACUAAAAAUUAAAAAAAUUAUUUUAAUCCUUAGAUGGAUGGGUUAUAAUUAAAAUUUACGUCUCUUUUUUAAAUACACAGAUAGCAAGAUAGAUGUACACUUGAAACAAAAAUGCAUGAUUUAUAUCAUAUCAUUCUAAUAUUGAUAAAAUUAUGUAAAACUUUAAUUUUUUAUUUACUAAAAAAUUGACAAGAGGAAAGACUUUGGAUGAAGAUGUGUAUGGUGUACACCACAAAGCUCAAAAAUAAUAAUUAAAUAAAAGAAUAUAUUUAUUAGAUCAUAGAGAGCUCAUAUUAUAGGGCAUCAUUAUUUAUAAUAAUAUACUCAUGUAAAAAGAGACGAGCGUACGUGAUUAGUAAGUUGUAAUUUUUAUGCCCGUAGACUGAAAGAACACUAGAGUGCAGGGACUAAUAAUAGUAAAGGUACCAUCCGUCUCUGAUGCAAGUGGUAAAGAAUUUGAUGAUUGGUAUCGGAGAUCUAAAUUCGAAUUCUAGUUGAUUCGCAUUUUCAGCUAAGUUUAUUUCUAAAUGAAAUAAACAAAGCGGGUAGCGUGAUACCUAUCUCUCAAUAAAUAAUAAUAAUAAUAAUAAUAAUAAUAAUAGUAAAAUUAUUCUUUGAUGCCGCGUUAAUUCUCAGCCGGCAGCUACCCAGCUCUCUGUUCUGAGCUUGCUGGCGCGAGAAUGUCGGGAGUAGUAGAGCCGAUCAUAUUAGCAGCGGUGGGAUGGGUGGCGUCUCCCCUCGUGGCGAAGCUGCUCAACGAAGGCUACCUCAGCUUAGGCAUCAACGCGGAGAAGAAGCUGGAGAAGAUGAGGGACACCGUCCUCCCGGUGCUGAAAUCGGUGAUCGAGAAAGCGGAGGGCAGCCCGCACCGGAGCGAGGUGGAGGGCUGGCUGCAGAGGCUGAAAGACGCUUACGACGGCGCGGAGGACGCGCUGGACCGCCUCACCUACGACCGCCUCAGACGCAAGGCUAAGGCAGCCGCAAGGAGCAGCAGUGGUAAGAGGCCAACAAAUCCGGUACGUUCUUCUUCCUCUUUUCACGUACCAAAACGUGUGAAAUGGGUG
Molecule: long non-coding RNA, 38692 nt
Filed under: Ananas comosus (pineapple)
Lineage: Eukaryota; Viridiplantae; Streptophyta; Magnoliopsida; Poales; Bromeliaceae
Description: long non-coding RNA (ACOM_LNC034128)
Source: RNAcentral